AGCACCAAGGAUUUGGUUAUCGUCAGGAAGACGAUUUGAUUUAUCAGGAUGAUCAAUCAAGCAAGGAGCCUAGGACAUUGUAAGGACACAAUCAUCAAUAGGACGUUGAUGACGAAGGAUAGACAAUGGACCCCUCACAGGAAUGAGGUAAGGACAGCAUCAGGAAGAUGCCAAGGACACCGCUAGGACGGCGACGUAAGGAUUAAGCUGAUGGAAUCAGCCACUAUUAUGGAUGAUGCAUGGAGCAAUUUUUAGUAGCCGGACUGCUGCGAGUAAGACCAUGACCCCGAUACCUUUGUGUCGGGGUCUUUCUUAUUU
This 318-nucleotide small RNA is filed under the name Vibrio sp. ES.051. The record is from RNAcentral. Lineage: Bacteria; Pseudomonadati; Pseudomonadota; Gammaproteobacteria; Vibrionales; Vibrionaceae.